Molecule: ribosomal RNA, 1020 nt
Filed under: Triticum aestivum (bread wheat)
Lineage: Eukaryota; Viridiplantae; Streptophyta; Magnoliopsida; Poales; Poaceae
Description: partial small subunit ribosomal RNA
Source: RNAcentral
AUGGAGUGCGAGCCCGAGGAGCUGCAGUUCCUGGGCCCCGUCGGCAUCUACCGGGAGUCGGUGGCCAUCCUGCGCGCGCACCGCCCGCUCUACGCCCGCAUCGCCGCCGCCUUCGUCCUCCCGCUCUCCGCGCUCUUCCUCGCCCACAUCGCCAUCUCCCACGCCCUCUUCUCCACCAUCGACUCCGACGACUCCGCCCUCGAGUCCUCCGCCCCCGGGACCGCCUCCCAGCAGCGGAUCCUCCAGCGGCUCGGCGCCGACUGGGCCGCCCUCGUCCUCUUCAAGGCCGCCUACCUCCUCGCGCUCCUCCUCUUCUCGCUCCUCUCCACCGCCGCCGCCGUCUUCUCCGUCGCCUCCGUCUACUCCGCCAAGCACGACGCGCUCACCUUCCCGCGGGUGCUCUCCGUCGUGCCCCGCGUCUGGCGCCGCCUCGCGGCCACCUUCCUCUCCGCCUUCGCGCUGCUCUUCGCCUACCACUUCGUCUUCGCCGUCGUCUUCAUCGCGCUCCUCGUCGCCGUCGACAAUGGCUCCACCCUCGCCGGGCUCCUCGCCUUCGUCGUCAUCGUCGCCUACCUAGUCGGGCUCGUCUACCUCAGCGUCGUCUGGCACCUCGCCAGCGUCGUCUCGGUGCUCGAGGACUACAAGGGGUUCCAGGCCAUGCGCAAGAGCAAGGCGCUCAUCCAGGGGAAGCUCUGGACCGUCGUGAUCAUCUUCGUCACGCUCAACAUCGUCUUCGUCGUCGUGGAGUUCGCCUUCCGCGCCUGGAUCGUCCAGGGCGCGCGCCACGGUCUCGGCGCGGGAGGGAGGCUGCUCCUUGGCCUCGUCAUCCUGGCUGCGCUGUGCUCGGUCGUCAUGGUGGCGCUGGUGGUGCAGACGGUGGUGUACCUGGUGUGCAAGAGCUACCACCACGAGAGCAUCGACAAGAGCAACAUCUCCGACCACCUCGAGGUCUACCUCGGCGACUACGUCCCGCUCAAGGCCAGCGACGUGCAGAUGCAGCACUUCGGCGACGAGGUCUGA